RNAcentral lists this ribosomal RNA (393 nucleotides) under uncultured bacterium. Its description in RNAcentral is "partial 16S ribosomal RNA". It matches the Rfam family "Bacterial small subunit ribosomal RNA", at positions 523 to 918 of the family's 1533-position model. The record is from RNAcentral.
AUACGGAGGAUGCGAGCGUUAUCCGGAUUUAUUGGGUUUAAAGGGAGCGUAGGUGGGAUAUUAAGUCAGCUGUGAAAGUUUGGGGCUCCACCUUAAAAUUGCAGUUGAUACUGGUUUCCUUGAGUACGGUACAGGUGGGCGGAAUUCGUGGUGUAGCGGUGAAAUGCUUAGAUAUCACGAAGAACUCCGAUCGCGAAGGCAGCUCACCGGGCCGGAACUGACACUGAUGCUCGAAAGUGCGGGUAUCAAACAGGAUUAGAUACCCUGGUAGUCCGCACAGUAAACGAUGAAUACUCGCUGUUUGCGAUACACUGUAAGCGGCCAAGCGAAAGCGUUAAGUAUUCCACCUGGGGAGUACGCCGGCAACGGUGAAACUCAAAGGAAUUGACGGGG